GAUGAAGAACGCAGCGAAAUGCGAUAAGUGAUGUGAAUUGCAGAAUUCAGUGAAUCAUCGAAUCUUUGAACGCACCUUGCGCUCCUUGGUAUUCCGAGGAGCAUGCCUGUUUGAUUGUCAUGAAAUUCUCAACCUUUUCAGCUUUCUUUGUUGAUCAGGCUUGGAUGUGGGAGUAUGCGGGCUUCUCAGAAGUCGGCUCUCCUGAAAUGCAUUAGCGGGACCUUUGUUGCCUGGCUUUGGUGUGAUAAUUAUCUACGCCAUUGUAGUCAAGCAGCUUAAAAUGAGGUUUCAGCUUCUAACCGUCUCCCCUGAGACAACUUUUUGACAAUUUGACCUCAAAUCAGGUAGGACUACCCGCUGAACUUAAGCAUAUCAAUAAGCGGAGGA
This 387-nucleotide unclassified non-coding RNA is filed under the name soil metagenome. RNAcentral describes it as "partial contains 5.8S ribosomal RNA, internal transcribed spacer 2, and large subunit ribosomal RNA". The stretch from base 1 to 120 matches the Rfam family "5.8S ribosomal RNA", at positions 35 to 154 of the family's 154-position model. The record is from RNAcentral.